Molecule: unclassified non-coding RNA, 333 nt
Filed under: soil metagenome
Description: partial contains 5.8S ribosomal RNA, internal transcribed spacer 2, and large subunit ribosomal RNA
Rfam family: 5.8S ribosomal RNA (bases 1-119)
Source: RNAcentral
GAUGAAGACGUAGUGAAAUGCGAUACGUAAUGUGAAUUGCAGAAUUCAGUGAAUCAUCGAAUCUUUGAACGCACAUUGCGCCCGCCAGCACUCUUGCGGGCAUGCCUGUUCGAGCGUCAUUUCAACCAUCAAGCCCCAGGCUUGCGUUGGAGCCCUGCGGCUGCCGCAGCCUCCUAAAAGCAGUGGCGGCCUCGCUAUCACACCGAGUGCAGUAGAUUACUCUUCGCUCAGGGCGUGCAGCGGGUUCCGGCCGUGAAACCCCCUACUUUUAAAGGUUGACCUCGGAUCAGGUAGGAAUACCCGCUGAACUUAAGCAUAUCAAUAAGCGGAGGA